GACGAACGCUGGCGGCGUGCUUAACACAUGCAAGUCGAACGGAAGGGCCCUGCUUUUGUGGGGUGCUCGAGUGGCGAACGGGUGAGUAACACGUGAGUAACCUGCCCUUGACUUUGGGAUAACUUCAGGAAACUGGGGCUAAUACCGGAUAGGAGCUCCUGCUGCAUGGUGGGGGUUGGAAAGUUUCGGCGGUUGGGGAUGGACUCGCGGCUUAUCAGCUUGUUGGUGGGGUAGUGGCUUACCAAGGCUUUGACGGGUAGCCGGCCUGAGAGGGUGAACGGCCACAUUGGGACUGAGAUACGGCCCAGACUCCUACGGGAGGCAGCAGGGGGGAAUAUUGCACAAUGGGCGGAAGCCUGAUGCAGCAACGCCGCGUGCGGGAUGACGGCCUUCGGGUUGUAAACCGCUUUCGCCUGUGACGAAGCGUGAGUGACGGUAAUGGGUAAAGAAGCACCGGCUAACUACGUG
This 468-nucleotide ribosomal RNA is filed under the name uncultured bacterium. RNAcentral describes it as "partial 16S ribosomal RNA". It matches the Rfam family "Bacterial small subunit ribosomal RNA", at positions 28 to 507 of the family's 1533-position model. The record is from RNAcentral.